AAAGGAAGAAAACGCAAACGGCGGUUACUGACAGGCUGGGCGAGCGCUCGGGGGCUCAAACUGCCUGGAGACAGGCGGGGCUCCUGCUGAGGCUUGGUCCGCCCGGACGAGUAAGGAGAGGAGCCAGGGAGGACCUGCUGGCGUGAGACGCCUCUGCCCGGUAGAAGAUACUGGAAGAUCAACUCUAAUUUGUGGCUGCCUUCCCAGCAGUCUCUACUUCAGCAUAUCUGGGAGCCAGAAGCACUCAAGUUUGAUAACUCAAAAGACAGAACAAUCAGUCAAGGAGAUGGAUGAAAUAUUUCUUCUGUGCUCUGAAUAUAGGGUAUGAUCUCAGAGCUCUCUGUGCCAGCAGAAUCAGUCUGGAACUCAGCCAGAAGUUCUUCGUGAUUAAAGGUGCCAUCUGAGCGCACAAUAUUUUUUUAAAAGCCUUGCAAAAUGGGGCCGGGCACGGUGGCUCAUGCCUGUAAUCCCAGCACUUUGGGAGGCUGAGGUGGGCAGAUCACGAGGUCGGGAGUUUGAGACCAGCCUGGCCCACGUGGUGAAACUCCGUCUAUACUAAAAAUAAAAAAAUUAGCUGGGCAUGUUGGCAAGCGCUUGUAAUCCCAGCUACUCGGGAGGCUGAGGCAGGAGAAUCAUUUGAAUGCAGGAGGCAGAGGUUGCAGUGAGCCGACAUCACGCCAUUGCACUCCAGCCUGGACAACAGGGCGAGACUCAGUCUCAAAAAAAAAAAAAAAAAAAGCCUUGCAAAAUGGAAAUAUACUUUUUUUUUUUUUUUUUGAUCACUAGCAUUAGCACCAGAACUGACUUUAGACUUUGGGUAGGGAUUCUACCAGCCUCAAUACCUUCUUUUUCUUCUCUCACCAUUUUCCCUUGACCACUUGUCUUGUGAUAAGGCCCAGUCCAUGCAAUUAAAUAAACUCAUUUAACAAAUAUGACUCCCAGAAAGCCCUACAAAUUAUCAGUUGCAGAUUUUUAGGGCCUCCCCAGACACUUGACUUGUAAGUAGAAGAUAUAUCAAGUUUUGAUGGAAAAGUUUGCCUUCACAAUGUACAAAGAACCAUGUUAGUGGAUCUUCUGGAAAGACAUCUCACCUGAAAAUCAAUAGUCAUCUCUUGAGACAGCAGUGUCUAAAAUCGUGAUUUUCCAUUUUUUCCAAAUGGUAUUCCUUGUAUUUGGCAUUUGCAAUUUUUUACCUUUCCUCAUCUUUCUUAGCACUUGAAUACCCAUGAUAGAGUUAAUCAUUUAACCCAAGGCACUGAGAAAUUAUGACAUUAUAUGAAUGAGUAGACUUCAUUAAAGUGGCAUUCCCCUAGAUGCUGCUGAAUUCCAGGGCUUAGGGGACAAUGUUUGAGGCCUCACUUAUACACCUCAGCAUGUGAUGUAGAUCUGCUCUGCCUCACUCUUCCCACUUUGGGUCCUCAUUUAGGUUUAGGGGUAACAAAAGAAGCAAAUCUCUCUAGCUUGACAUCUUCCUCACUUUUGAUGUCUGCCCUUGUAGUAACACAGGGGCCAACUGGAUAAUAUGUAUGCCAUUGCUGCAAACUUCCCCUCCAACAAGGCAACAGAUUUCAGCUCAGCUCUCACCAGGGGAGAGAGCACAAAUUAGAUCCAAAUGGCAGGAACAAUAGUCCAGGCUGUUUCAGGAGGACAGGGCACAAACAGGGCAGGCAGCUGGUGAAGCUCUGUUACCUCAUUUAAUCUCCAUAACCCUGGGGUGGAAGGCUGUAUUUUUAUUCUCAUUUUACAGAUGAGGAAAUUGAGACCCAGAGCAAUGAGGGGAUUUGUUCAAAGUCAUGCAGUCACUAGUAGCAGAGUCAGGAUUAGAGCCCCAUGUCCUGACUACCAGUUCAUUGCCUUUCCCGCUGCACCACACAGCCUUCCUCUCCCAUUCACUCACUUAGCAAAUGUUUGUUGGUGCUUCCAAACACUGAAGAUACAAAAGUGAAUAAGACUGAGUCCCUAACAUUGAGUCCAGAAUUCAUAGAGGAGGGACCAACAAAGGAAUAAAUAAUUAAAGACACAAUAAGCGCUAUAAUCAAGAAUUUGACAAAGUGUGUUGGGGGAGCCCCAAAAACAGUGCUGAUCUCUAACCAUGUGCAGGUGAGUAGAAGCUUCCUGGAAGAGGUGACAUUUGGCUGCCCCAGACUUGCAUGCACCUGCUUUAAAUGUGUGGUCCUUUACUUCUCAGUUUUCGCAAUUCACAAUUAACUCUAAGCCUGAAAAAGUUUCGUCGAAAGCUGAUUCCAUUAGAAAGUGGCAAACUCCUACUUCUCUGCAUCUGAUCUUAUACAUUGUGCUCACACAGACCCCUGUGCUGGCCUCUGCACAGCCCUUGGCACACCAUGUUCAAAGUGUUUGCUUCCAGUUCUCUCUCCUAUCACUCUUUAGAGUUCCUCAUGUUGGACAACAGUGGUUCCUCAUGGUCCUUUAACCAUCAAUGCCCAGCCCAAGGCCUGGCACACAGUGGGUAGCCAGUGAAUAUUCUUCGAGCGAAUAAGCAAAAGUGCAAGUAAACUCUCCAGGAAGGCUCUGGGGAGUCUAAGUUCAAAUUAUCC
RNAcentral lists this long non-coding RNA (2555 nucleotides) under Homo sapiens (human). RNAcentral describes it as "non-protein coding lnc-TSPAN1-1:7". The record is from RNAcentral. Lineage: Eukaryota; Metazoa; Chordata; Mammalia; Primates; Hominidae.